This 214-nucleotide ribosomal RNA is filed under the name Campeiostachys nutans. RNAcentral describes it as "Elymus nutans partial small subunit ribosomal RNA". It matches the Rfam family "Eukaryotic small subunit ribosomal RNA", at positions 664 to 864 of the family's 1831-position model. The record is from RNAcentral. Lineage: Eukaryota; Viridiplantae; Streptophyta; Magnoliopsida; Poales; Poaceae.
GGUUUGACUGGAUGGUCUUCCUUACGGUUGUACUUGAAGGUCGAAUCUUUCCUUCUAGAGAACUACCGUGCCAUUAAUUUGGUGUUGCGGGGAAUUUGGACUGUUACUUUGAAAAAAUUAGAGUGUUUAAAGCAAGCUAACGCUUGAAUACAUUAGCAUGGAAUAAUGAAAUAGGACGUUCGAUCCUAUUUUGUUGGUUUCUAGGAUUGACGUA